Small nucleolar RNA from Tachyglossus aculeatus (Australian echidna), 138 nucleotides. The record is from RefSeq and is a predicted model, not a curated record. NCBI's taxonomy places the organism in Eukaryota, Metazoa, Chordata, Mammalia, Monotremata, Tachyglossidae.
UCCCUCUCAGGGUUGUACCUAGAGAGUUUCCCGUACUCUACUAGAUUCGAUUAUGGGAAGGAGAGUCAAGCAGAGGCAUAUCCAUUCCAUUCCUAGCUUGGACAGUGGUUAGCGAGAGGAAGGUAAUCUGCUACGAGU